UGAACUAAUAAUUACAGAGUCAUAUUAUGAUAUUUUUGUAGCUGAGAUCGACAUUACGUACCUUUGAAUAAUGUUUACCAUUUGUUGAUAAUUUUCUUGUGGUUUUCUCAUUGAGUCAAAGAUUAUCAACCGGUUCUUGGGAAUUUCAAUGACCAUGAGUAUCCAGUGAAAGCUGUUUACACACAUAUAUAUAUAUAGUCAGUCCUAUAAUAUAAAAUAAAAUAUGCAUGCACUUAAUAACUAUAUAACUCACUCGAAGUUGAAGGGGAAGAGUAUUUUUUUGUUUUUCUUUUUGGUUCACAAAGAACCUCAUAAGAUUGGUGCAGACUUCUGUCUCAUGAUCUGCUGCCCACACUGCCUGCGGAGCCUUGAAAACAAUAUAAGGGUCAACGAACCCAAUACUAUUGUCAUUUCUCAUUCUGAGCUCUCUUAUUUGGUGCCUGCAUAUAUACAUACAAAUCCUAAGUGUGUAAGGAUUAUAUACAUGUAAUUAAAGAAAUUAGAAGUAUAAUAAAAAGAAAAAAAUACUUACAGACAAAAGCAGCUGACAAGAGAUUUGUCAAGAGCGUCGAGGUGGCAU
This 580-nucleotide long non-coding RNA is filed under the name Sorghum bicolor (sorghum). RNAcentral describes it as "long non-coding RNA (SBIC_LNC007514)". Lineage: Eukaryota; Viridiplantae; Streptophyta; Magnoliopsida; Poales; Poaceae. The record is from RNAcentral.